This 809-nucleotide ribosomal RNA is filed under the name uncultured Acidobacteriota bacterium. RNAcentral describes it as "bacterial SSU rRNA". It matches the Rfam family "Bacterial small subunit ribosomal RNA", at positions 79 to 865 of the family's 1533-position model. Lineage: Bacteria; Pseudomonadati; Acidobacteriota. The record is from RNAcentral.
UUCGGUUCCCAGUUGAGUGGCGAACGGGUGAGUAACACGUGGGUGAUCUACCUUCAAGUGGGGGAUAACGUUCCGAAAGGAACGCUAAUACCGCAUGACGUUCUGGGUUUGAAGACCUGGAAACCAAAGCCGGGGACCGCAAGGCCUGGCGCUUAAAGAGGAGCCCGCGUCCGAUUAGCUAGUUGGCGGGGUAACGGCCCACCAAGGCGACGAUCGGUAGCCGGCCUGAGAGGGCGGACGGCCACACUGGGACUGAGACACGGCCCAUACUCCUACGGGAGGCAGCAGUGGGGAAUUGUUCACAAUGGGCGCAAGCCUGAUGACGCAACGCCGCGUGGGGGAUGAAGGCCUUCGGGUCGUAAACCCCUGUCGAAUGGGACGAAAAGCCCGCGAUUUAACAAAACGCGGGACUGACGGUACCGUUAAAGGAAGCCACGGCUAACUCUGUGCCAGCAGCCGCGGUAAUACAGAGGUGGCAAGCGUUGUUCGGAAUUACUGGGCGUAAAGGGCGCGUAGGCGGCCUUCUAAGUCAGACGUGAAAUCCCCCGGCUUAACCUGGGAACUGCGUCUGAUACUGGGAGGCUUGAGUAUGGGAGAGGGAUGUAGAAUUCCAGGUGUAGCGGUGAAAUGCGUAGAUAUCUGGAGGAAUACCGGUGGCGAAGGCGGCAUCCUGGACCAUAACUGACGCUGAGGCGCGAAAGCUAGGGGAGCAAACGGGAUUAGAUACCCCGGUAGUCCUAGCCCUAAACGAUGAAUACUUGGUGUGGCGGGGUAUCGAUCCCUGCCGUGCCGAAGCUAACGCAUUAAGU